UGGGGAAUAUUGCACAAUGGGCGCAAGCCUGAUGCAGCCAUGCCGCGUGUAUGAAGAAGGCCUUCGGGUUGUAAAGUACUUUCAGUCGGGAGUAAAGUUAAUACCUUUGCUCAUUGACGUUACCCGCAGAAGAAGCACCGGCUAACUCCGUGCCAGCAGCCGCGGUAAUACGGAGGGUGCAAGCGUUAAUCGGAAUUACUGGGCGUAAAGCGCACGCAGGCGGUUUGUUAAGUCAGAUGUGAAAUCCCCGGGCUCAACCUGGGAACUGCAUCUGAUACUGGCAAGCUUGAGUCUCGUAGAGGGGGGUAGAAUUCCAUGUGUAGCGGUGAAAUGCGUAGAGAUGUGGAGGAAUACCGGUGGCGAAGGCGGCCCCCUGGACAAAGACUGACGCUCAGGUGCGAAAGCGUGGGGAGCAAACAGG
RNAcentral lists this ribosomal RNA (421 nucleotides) under Chloroflexota bacterium. RNAcentral describes it as "Chloroflexi bacterium partial 16S ribosomal RNA". It matches the Rfam family "Bacterial small subunit ribosomal RNA", at positions 355 to 776 of the family's 1533-position model. The record is from RNAcentral. Lineage: Bacteria; Bacillati; Chloroflexota.